This 253-nucleotide ribosomal RNA is filed under the name uncultured bacterium. Its description in RNAcentral is "partial 16S ribosomal RNA". It matches the Rfam family "Bacterial small subunit ribosomal RNA", at positions 524 to 776 of the family's 1533-position model. The record is from RNAcentral.
UACAGAGGGGGCAAGCGUUGUUCGGAAUUACUGGGCAUAAAGCGCACGUAGGUGGUCCGCUAAGUCGGAUGUGAAAUUCCCCGGCUCAACCGGGGAACGGCAAUCGAUACUGGCGGGCUUGAGGUCCGGAGGGGUGAGUGGAACUCCUGGUGGAGCGGUGAAAUGCGUAGAUAUCAGGAGGAACACCAGUGGCGAAAGCGGCUCACUGGCCGGAAUCUGACACUGAGGUGCGAAAGCUAGGGUAGCAAACGGG